This 2809-nucleotide long non-coding RNA is filed under the name Solanum lycopersicum (tomato). RNAcentral describes it as "long non-coding RNA (SLYC_LNC001165)". The record is from RNAcentral. Lineage: Eukaryota; Viridiplantae; Streptophyta; Magnoliopsida; Solanales; Solanaceae.
GCCAUUUGUACAACAAUAUAAAUAUCGAAACAGAAAACAAAUCAUAUUAGCCUAAUGGACUACAAUUAUUUUAAUUUUAGUAUUAUAUUGUCCGUACAUAUCUAAAAAUUGUGUACAAUAAUAACUGAAAUAAAAUAAAAACAAAACAGACACUAAUUGACAAUUCUCUCACAACAAAACGAUUCUCAAAUAAUCGAAACCUGAUACACAAAAAAAUGAAAUAAUUAAACAAAUUCAAUACAGGAAUCAAAGUACAACAGAUCCAUUUUAUUUUAAUAAAGUGUAGGUGAAUUAUUCUUAUACCGAUUGAGAAGAGGAAAAAAAAAAAGGAGAUAUAUAUAGUUGAACAUGUUGAGUAAUCUAAAAGAUUGCGGAUAAAGAUUCGAUCAAGUAUAAUUAGGACAAGCAAUGUUCAAUGAUCUUAUAAAUUUAUGUCAUGUACUAUAUAAUAAUUUAUGAUUGAGAUCCAUUAAAAUUAUAUACUCAUUAUAAUUUAAAAAAACAAUAAAGCUAUCAACUAUUUUUAUCUUUUAAAACUACAACCAAAUAGAACAGUUAAGUGUAACCAGACAAAUAUUUUCAAGACAAAAAGUAAAAAUUAACAAAAAUAUGUCCUAUCCUAAAGGAGAAGGAGGAGUAGGAGGAGUCAGUUUUCUUUGAAGAUCGAGGAACGUAGUGUCGGACAAUUAUGCCAUCAUGGGGAUUUCCACUUUUUUGUCUACUUCCAUCCGUAAUACGGAUUUUCCUUACUUUUUAAAUUGUUGUAUCCGAAAAUGAUACUCACGCCCGCUCGGCCUUUUAAUGUUUUACUUCAUAAUUUCUCAAAAACUACAAAUGUAUUCUUGUUUGAAUUUUGAUUUUGUUAGGGUCUGAAAGGAAUUCAUCGAGUAGAUAGUGAAAAUAUAAAUAUCUGAAGAAAACGCAAGUUGAAAUACGGAGAUUGCUUUCCAGUUUUCGCCAGCUGAAUGGCAUUUUCCAAAUUUUAGCUUUUCAAAAAACCAGCAGAUUUUAAAGUCAGUUUCAAAAAAAUUUGGAAAAUUCUUCUCCCCAUUCCAUUAUUUACUUUAGUACUAUAGUGUCCUCUUCUUUUUUUUUUUGGGUCAUGUGUACUAUGACAUCAUCGUAUCAUCAUUGUUAUCAUUCUUUGUUUUUGUUCAAGUUUUAUAUUUUGUUAUAUUUUCCAUUAAAUCUUACACUUUUCCAUUACUAGAGGUGUUAAUUAAAUUCGACUCACAAAAGUAUGUAUCGUGUAAGAAAUUAAAUUUAUCCAUAAUUCAUCAAGUAUCAAGUGUUUGGAUCAAUUUCAAUAAAGUUGUAAAUGUAAAGGCAAAGGAAUAUAAGAUCCAUUAUACUAGCUUUAAUAAACAUAUAAUUCACUUCCUAACCUUCCCUCAAACUAAUCCCUAAAUUUCAAGGGGUCGCUUGGUUGAAAACAAGUUAUCUAAUGGGAUUAAUUAGCUAUCCUGAGAUAACUUAUCCUACCAUGUAUAUGAGCUCAUCACUAUGAUAUGAACGGUGGGAUAAGUUAUCCCAAACAUUACAACCAAACAACAGACAAAAAUUUUAUUCCAUCACUAUUUCCUUAUCCUAUCACUAUUCCUCACACCAAACGACUCCAUAUUUAAAAGUGAAGAAAAUAUACUUUUUUACUUCAUAUUUUAGCAGCUCUUAAUAAAAAUUCUAGCUCUAUCACGUUUCCCUAAUUUAAACCGAGAGAAUAUAUACUUCAAAAAAGAGUUUGAUGCUUUUUAUUCCAUACCAAACAAUCAAAAGAAUGCAUAUUAUAAUGUAUAGGUUAGAAUGGUUAGUAUUAAUUCCACUACACAAAAAAAAGAAAGUAGGCCAUACAGAGAGAGAUGAUGCUGGGCACCUAAGCAAAUAGGACCCUCAACAACUUUCUCUUUCCGUACGUCGACCCGGACACCAAACGUACCCACUCUAUUUUAUUCUAUAAAUACAUUCAUUCUUUACCCCCUCCAAAACCCCCAUUCUCAUUACUCUUUCUUAUUCAAUUUUUGUGCAUCAUUGAAUGUGGGGAGGAAGACUGAUUCAUACCUCAUUAAGUGAUGGAGAGUCCUCAAUAUUAUGCACCACCACAAACUGUGGACUCCUCCUCUCGUCCGUCUCUGGGAUUUCCUCUGGGGACUGCGCUUCUCUUGCUUGUCAUUUUCAGCUUGAGUGGUGUUUUUUCUUGCUGCUAUCAUUGGGACAAAAUACGAGCCCUGCGACGUCGAUCUCUAGCCGAUAUCGAAGCUGGAGAUGAUGAUCCUUCAUCUUUGAAAUCCAAACACAACAAAAUGGUAAGAUCGAAUCGAUCAAAAAAAUGCAUAAUUAACUAAUUCUUAGCUAAAAUAAACAUGAAUUUCAUGAGGUGAUUUCAAUUAAAGGUAAAAUAAACAUGUAUAAUUAAUUGUUCUGUCUUUCUUUGCCAAAUUAUAAGCUUGUGGCUAUACUUAAUUUGGUUAUUCUGUGUUUUACAGGGUGAAAAGCAGAGCCAAUGCCAAAGUAUGCCUGCAGUGUUGAUGCCAGGUGAUGUAGUUCCAAAAUUCAUAGCAAUGCCUUGUCCAUGUCAGCCGCCCAUACCGGAAAAAGUGGUGGUUGAAGAGCAGAAGCCGCCGCAGCCUCAGCCUCCUAAACCAGUUCGUAUGGUAGUGGGAUUACCUUUGUAUUAAUUAAAAAAAAGGCAAAUUACCAACCUAAGCUGUGGUGUAGUGGUGAGAUUGCUUCAUGCUUAAUCAGAAAUCUCGAGUUUGAGCUUUACACUGAAGAGAACUUUAUUGAAAGCGUCACCACCAAAUGGAUCCAAUGG